This 1104-nucleotide long non-coding RNA is filed under the name Equus caballus (horse). Its description in RNAcentral is "lncRNA (ENSECAG00000058868.1)". Lineage: Eukaryota; Metazoa; Chordata; Mammalia; Perissodactyla; Equidae. The record is from RNAcentral.
AUUAGGCCAAGGGAGUUGCAACCUUUAUUUUUCUUCAAAGAAAUUUUAUCAAUUACCAAACAUGAGCCCUCUCUCUUAUUCCCGGGGAGUGAGAACAGGAGGGGAAAAAUGGCAUUGACAGAUGCGGUGUCAACUAAUGAGGGAUGAGCCCAGCUGUCACACUUUCAAAAAUACAUCUUCUUCUUGGCUGUAAAUUCUGCAAUGCAAGACCAGGCACUGGGACGUGGGCUAUCUCUUAAUUAAUUCUUAAUAGAGCCAAAUCAUCUUUUUCCUCUAAAAUAUGAAAUGAGGACAAGAGCUUGACAGGUUUUUAUAAGACUGAUGUCACAAUCUAAAAAUGAUUCAUUCUGGAAGGCAUAAAAUAGUUCUUGCUUUAUAAAAAUAGUAUCAUGAUUUUAAAAAAACUGCACUUCUACCAAAGGAAACAUGUUCCAACACUGCAAAAGAGGUGUUCCACUUAAAGCAGAACAAGAUACACUCCCCCCGUCCAUCUUUUCCUCUCCCGUUCCCCUCCCAACCAGAGUCAAGUCACUCCCGGCACACUCUUCUGGGUGGUAGAGAUGCCAGGGCCACCUAAGGCCAGGAGACUUGGGGGGCCGUGCAGGGUUAAGCACGCCAGGACUGAAAAGCAAAGGGUCAGCUGUCUUCAUGUAGGAUCUCUGGAUGUUCCUUCCAGAAAGCAUCCCCGAUGAUAUCACAAUAUAAGGGCACUGGCUUAGUCCUGGUCCGGAUCACUGCCAUCUUUUUUCCUUCCAUUUCUGCUGGCAGCUUAACUUCUUUUGUUGUGACUUCACCCACCUACGAGAAAAAGUUAAAAUAUUGACACUGUUAACUAGAGUCGGUUUGGGAGAGAAGGAGAUGUGCGGGAAGUUCACAUUUUUACUUCAUAUACUUCUGAUUAAUACAUAUUUAUCAGGUAGAUGCACACACAUAUCUCAACAUGAACUUAUUUACAAUUAAAAAUACUUUUCAAAGUUAUGUUGCUAUAUUCUGAAAGGAGAUCUUAGGAACAAAGGAAGGAUUCAAGGAUCCUUGUUAGCAAUAACUAUAGAAAUUAAGAGUAUUUCUGCUCUCCCACUUGCAUUAUGUAAGUCUGUGCCAAGU